Molecule: ribosomal RNA, 323 nt
Filed under: uncultured eukaryote
Lineage: Eukaryota
Description: partial 18S ribosomal RNA
Rfam family: Eukaryotic small subunit ribosomal RNA
Source: RNAcentral
CCCUUAGAUGUUCUGGGCCGCACGCGUGCUACACUGAACGGUUCAAUGGGUAAGGUAGUGCGAAAGCAUGACCCAAUCUCGAAAUCCGUUCGUGCUGGGGAUAGAAGCUUGCAAUUAUCCUUCUUGAACGAGGAAUACCUUGUAAGCGUGAGUCAUCAUCUCACGCUGAAUACGUCCCUGCCCUUUGUACACACCGCCCGUCGCUCCUACCGAUUGAGUGUUCCGGUGAGGCUUUGGGAGAAUGGCCUCAACAUGAGUUUAUCGUGUUUUGCCGUUUGAACUUAGUCAAACCUUAUCACUUAGAGGAAGGAGAAGUCGUAACA